GUGUGUGUGUCUGUGUAGUAGUAGUAGUAGUAGAAUUACAGUCAUUUUAAACACGAAGCUCUCCAUGAAUGUUACUGAAUAUCUUUUGUUAAUCAUUCCAUGUUAAUGAGGAAAUAUCUAUAGACUGAUGGAACGAAUAAAACAAUUCAAUCUCCCUGUUUUUGAAAGACGGCGAUACACCAAGUACAGUUCUAUUUCAUUUCUGAUCAUAAUAACAAAAACGCCGAAGUCGAUCGUCGGAGACAUUGUCCUUUACGUUGACAUAAAUUUAAUUUUGCUGGUUCAUGCUCGAAGAAUGGUAUGAAUGGUAAAGCGAACUAGACUAAGAUAAAAAAAAAGGACAUCGAAUAUUACUUUCUUCGCUGUAUUGUGUAUUUGUUUCUUUUUGCAUUUCGUCUUUGUUAUAGAUCUUCUAUAAGAACGAAACGAUAUCCCUUAAUUUGCCAUUUCUAAAUACAAAGAACAAGAAGAAAACAUCCAGAAAUAAAUUGUGCGAAACAGAAUUUAUUUUAGAAAACGCAUCCUGAAAUCAACCGAAGGGACACAGCCCACCCGCGAGGGUUCGAUGCAAGAUGGUGGAAAUGGUUUCAGUGAUCAAUAAAAAUCCUCGUAUCUUCCAUCUUCCGUUUCUCAUUAAUCAAGCACGCAACGGACGCUAAUCCAAUCAACGAGUAUACCUGUGAACCACCAGGUGUACUGCAUACGAUUUAUUAAUUACAUACGCACAUACACACACCACCCACACACGCAUAUAUGUGUGUCAGUAUGUGUGUAUAUAUAUGUGUGUGUGUGUAGAAUAUUUGAAGAGGUUAAGAUGUUAAGUAGAAGGAGGUAAUCAGGAUUUUCACUAAUUAAUUAGUGAUUCAUCUCGUUUCGGAGAAACACCAGAAAUUUCGCACUCUCUCUCUCUGUCUCUCUCUCUGUUUCUGUCUGUCUGUCUCUCUCUGUCUCUCCUCUCAUAUAUAUAUAUAUAUAUAUAUAUAUAUGUGUGUAUAUGUGUGUGUGUGUGUGUGUGUGUGUGUGUGUGUGUGUGUGUGUUUGAUUGUUUGUAUCGAAUGAUAUGACAAAGUACAGAGUCUUCAGGAAAAAAGAAAUACGUAUAUAGAUUUUGUCAUUCUAUUUGUUAACUUCUAUCUUUAUGAAAUAGUUUUCAAAGCACUCCCCAAGUGAAAAAAAUCCUAAGUUUCGCUUUCUUUGACUCAUUUCAGAAAAGAGGAGAGUAACGAAUAGAAAAUGUGAUGGAAUCUAAUGAUAUAUCAAGAGAAAUAUUUUCCAUCAAGCCGGUUUCCUUGAAUUAAAAGAAUAAUAAUGAUAAUAAUAAUAUAGAUGAUAAUUAACCUCAGUUUAUUCAAUUAAUAUCUUUUCAGGAGUAUGGGGAAAAACUUUUAACAAUUUAAUAGAAAAACAAUAGAAUUUGUUUUAGACAUUAAUUAUGGAACAUUUUAAUUACAUUUAAAUGAUUAUGAGAAAUGAAAACAAUUCAUUAUCAACAAAUAUGUUGGUAUUAGUGACCAAUGGAUAUGCUUUAAUACCAAUUUAUUCACGAGAUUAAUUCAUUAAUUAAAUAUUUAAUAUGAUUUAUUCCUUGGACAAAAUGUCGGAGAUAUAACUUCAUUCGACUUUGUUGAAUAACCCUUAAGAAUAAACUACAGGCACACACAUAUGUAUAUGUAUAUAUAUAUAAUUCUCUCUCUCUCUCUCUCUCUCUCUCUCUCUCUCUCUCUCUCUCUGUAUCUAUGUGUGUGUGUAUGUGUGCGUGUGUGUGUGAAAUUUCUCAGUCCGUCAAAGUACAUCAUACGCGUUUCUGUAUUUUGUUUGGAGUUCUUGGAGGAAUAUCAAUAUCGCUCAUUGAUACUUUGUGACGCAGACCAUCGAGGAUCUCCCUCCGCUCGUCCCUAUCAUGGAACUUCUUCCCCAGCAUCCCUUGUCCCAUCCGGAUCUUCCGCUUUGUUCUGCAAAAAAAUCAACGUCGCCAAAAUUUCUUUAGCUUUUGCUCUCGUCCUUUUGUGCUAAGCUUUCCCCCAGAGGAACCGCUUGACAGCGUUGUGAUUAUGUUUACUGAAUCUGUUUCCAAUGCCGAAACACUUCAUUUCAGCUCUAUGUCAACGAGGGGUCGCUGCAUUUGUUACCAGAAGGCAAUCUAUUUGAUUUCUUUUUUCGGCCAAUGUAUUUCAAGAAUCUUCCUGAUGCAAUGGUUGAUUAAGGACCGGAUCUCCUUUAGAGUACAUUUCGUAUGCCUCUACGUCUCGGCCUAUGAGCUGACACAACUGGUAUGAUUAAGUAUCAAUGUUGGAAGCACGAAUAUGUUUUUGGACAUGAGACAUCCAAUCCAGUGUUACCAAUGUCAAACAGAACAGAUUUAUUAUCAGACGUAAUUUUGCAUUUAUAUCAAUCGAAAUUCAUUUGUGGAAUGUAGACAAUUUAUACUUCAUAUCAUUUCUAAAUUAUAUAAGCUAAACAAGAUAAAGUUGCUAUUAGUAAGCUAAAAACCAAUUCUCAUAGAUCUAGGAAAGAUUCAGUGAGGAACACAUACCAGUUCCUCUAAACCCAGUAAUACCAUUCUUCCGAAGAUGCUUUUAGCAUUUUUUACUACAUGCAUUUUUGAAAUUUUGAUUCGUAAAAAAAAAACAAAAAAACUAAACAACAAGACUUUGGAAAUGUGGUUCUUGAAACAUAAUUUAAUUAUGGUACCGUAAAAUCAUAUUCAUAGAAAAAAUAAUUAGAUUUUCACUUUACGAGACACGCAAUUGUUAUUACAACAAAGUAACAUGAAUUCCGAACAAGAUGAAACUCCAACCCAAAAUGGCUGCAGAUACGAAAACGGAAUCAAGUAUUAAAGAAUGAGGGGUUAAUAGUCGAAAUGGUUAGCAUUGGAUAAACGAUUCGGAAGAGGCAAUGAAAUAUAUUUGAAAAAUACAUCAUGCAAUAGAAACGUGGAUGGCAGAGACAACAACUGUGUGUACUUCUAUAAACGGAUCUUCAAAGAUCGGCUUAUUUCGGCAAUUUUCGACAUCGAAUACAUCGUUAUAAUAUAAAAUGAAAGAAUUCAACUCGAGAGGGGAAGGAAUAAUAAUGGCCCGAGUCAAUUAGUAAAUAGCAAAAGGAUAAGGAAUCGGAGAGUGAAGUUCGAACACGCAAAUAAGAA
Molecule: long non-coding RNA, 3145 nt
Filed under: Octopus sinensis (East Asian common octopus)
Lineage: Eukaryota; Metazoa; Mollusca; Cephalopoda; Octopoda; Octopodidae
Description: uncharacterized LOC118765617
Source: RNAcentral